AGUGAACGCUGGCGGUAGGCCUAACACAUGCAAGUCGAACGGCAGCACAGGAGAGCUUGCUCUCUGGGUGGCGAGUGGCGGACGGGUGAGGAAUACAUCGGAAUCUACUCUGUCGUGGGGGAUAACGUAGGGAAAUUUACGCUAAUACCGCAUACGACCUACGGGUGAAAGCAGGGGACCUUUGGGCCUUGCGCGAUUGAAUGAGCCGAUGUCGGAUUAGCUAGUUGGCGGGGUAAAGGCCCACCAAGGCGACGAUCCGUAGCUGGUCUGAGGGGAGGAUCAGCCACACUGGAACUGGGACACGGGCCAGACUCCUACGGGAGGCAGCAGUGGGGAAUAUUGGACAAUGGGCGCAAGCCUGAUCCAGCCAUACCGCGUGGGUGAAGAAGGCCUUCGGGUUGUAAAGCCCUUUUGUUGGGAAAGAAAUCCAGCUGGCUAAUACCCGGUUGGGAUGACGGUACCCAAAGAAUAAGCACCGGCUAACUUCGUGCCAGCCGCCGCGGUAA
Molecule: ribosomal RNA, 506 nt
Filed under: uncultured bacterium
Lineage: Bacteria
Description: partial 16S ribosomal RNA
Rfam family: Bacterial small subunit ribosomal RNA
Source: RNAcentral